Molecule: ribosomal RNA, 256 nt
Filed under: uncultured bacterium
Lineage: Bacteria
Description: partial small subunit ribosomal RNA
Rfam family: Bacterial small subunit ribosomal RNA
Source: RNAcentral
AGGACGAACGCUGGCGGCGUGCUUAACACAUGCAAGUCGAGCGGUAAGGCCUCUUCGGGGUACACGAGCGGCGAACGGGUGAGUAACACGUGGGUGACCUGCCCUCAGCUCUGGGAUAAGCCUGGGAAACUGGGUCUAAUACUGGAUAUGACUGCGCAUCGCAUGGUGUGUGGUGGAAAGUUUUUUCGGCUGGGGAUGGGCCCGCGGCCUAUCAGCUUGUUGGUGGGGUGACGGCCUACCAAGGCGACGACGGGUA